This 411-nucleotide ribosomal RNA is filed under the name Triticum aestivum (bread wheat). Its description in RNAcentral is "partial small subunit ribosomal RNA". Lineage: Eukaryota; Viridiplantae; Streptophyta; Magnoliopsida; Poales; Poaceae. The record is from RNAcentral.
GGUGUUGUUGACUGGAACAUGAAAUUUCUUUAUGUUCUACCUGGCUGGGAGGGUUCUGCUUCUGACUCCACAGUAUUGCAUGAUGCAAUGAGAAACGAUCGUCAAGAUGCAUUUGUUAUACCUCACGGAAAAUAUUACCUAGUGGAUGUUGGCUACGCCAAUGGACCUGGCUUUUUGGCUCCAUUCAGAUCGACUAGGUACCACUUGAAAGAGUGGGUUUCAAGUCAACAACAGCCCCAAACUUCUAAAGAAUUGUACAACUUGCAUCAUUCUCAUGCUAGAAAUGUAGUGGAGAGAACUUUCGGAUUGUGGAAGAAAAAAUAGGCCAUCCUAAGAAUUCAAUCUUUCUUUGACAUAAAUGACCAGGUAACAAAUGUCCAUAUGGUGUUAAAUAAUAUAUGGCUAGCAUGA